AUGACUACUCUAUCAGGAAAAAUCAUGUAAGCUCUGGCUUUGUGAUUCUUAGCCACAUACCUAUAUGAGAACUCUAAGCACUGGGUCUGGGGAGGGCAUUUUAACUGAAGCAUUUGCUUUUCAUGGGGUCUAGUUAUUCAGAUGUCUUUGCUUUCAUUGUUUUCUGUCUCCUGGUAAGUACCACGGAGGCUGCAAAUCCCCCUUCUAGUCUGUAUGAAAGGGUGUAGGGUAAACGCACCUGAUAGCGAUAAUUUAAUCAUACCCUUAGACUAACCCUGUAUGGCAGAUGCACCUGAAUGUGUGCUGCUGCGCUCGGGAAUCUGGGAGCGGCCAAAUUGGAGAUUCCUUCCUUUUCUACGAUUAACAUCUGAGUACCCCCGACCCUCACCUCUGUCCUGUCCCAUGGAACACAGGCCAAACAGAGGAUUGAGGCCCUGAGGUUUGGGUUAAAUGAAGGUUGCCAGGUGGAGGUUGUUAGGGGAAGGGUGUUAAGUGAAAAAUGUUAUAGAAACUGCGUGCUGUUUGCAGGUGGUUGCAGAUACCUGGUUCCAAUUGUUAAAAAGUUCAGCCGGAGACUUCCUUCUACCUGAGGCGUUCUCCCGGUACUCCUCUGGCCGCCCUCCCGAAGGAUCCCCGUGGCGCCAGGCAGGAAUGUCCUGCUUGGGGGCCCAGUGAGCUCCCAGGGCCUUUCCCACUACUUCCUCUACUCCUGUAUUUCUCUCGACUCUCUAAACGGACUCAGCCCCAGCACGUAAGGAUGCAAGGAGAAUUUGGCAGUCUGCAACCUGGAAGAGGCCCUCACCAGAACCUGAGCCUGCUGUCACCCUGAUCUCGGAUUUCCAGCCUCUGGAACUGGAAGCCAGAAGGCCAAUCAUGGGGCUGCACCUACUUACCUCUGAAAAUGAAGAGGAAGAAGAUGAGGAUGUGAUGAUUGGGUAGUGUUGGAAGCUGCGGCAGUAUUCUUGGCAACAAGUAAACACAGCAUGGUUGGGACCCAUGGCAGGACAUGAGGAUAUUCGUGGCUGUUACAUGGUAUGUGAGGGAUCUCUUUGAGAGGACUUCCUAAGUUACGGCAGGGCUUUAGCGGCAAUUUACUAAAGUGGUUAAGAGCUCUGAUUAGAGGCAAUUUACCAAAGAGGUUAAGAGUUCUGAUUACAGAGGCCAACAGACUGGGUUUACAUUCAAACUCUGCCAUAUAAUAAUUUUGAGUUCUUGGGCAAGAUAGUUACUCACUGGCUGUAAGUCUCAGUUUCUUGUAUGUAAAGUGGAUAGCAAUUUUACAUGCCUUGUGAGGUGGUAAUGAGGAUUAGAGAUAAUAUACUUACAACACCUGCCACAUAUGGUAGUUAUCACUAUGAUUUCUCUUGUUUAGUGCACCUCUCAUAAAGAGACACAAAUUGUCACUUUGAAGUGUUCAUCCAUCCACUCAUAAUUUAUUAAGUAUGUUCUAUGAAUUGAGCACCAGGCCAAGCUCUGGGGAUGUAGGGAGGCAGUGAGCUGCAAAGUAGGUAAGGCUGAAGAAGAGCUAUUUCAUGGAAGAUGUGGUAUCUGAAUACUUGAAUUGGAUUGGGUUGUGACUGUGAUUUGGAAUAAAAAAUUACCACUAUAAAAUUGGACCUCAGUGUUCAAGUGAAUAUUACACUUGAGCAAGAUUCAGCGACAUUAAACCUUCUGUCAUAAAGACAGAGGUAAUGGCUUUUUGU
This is a long non-coding RNA of Macaca mulatta (Rhesus monkey), 1703 nucleotides long. RefSeq lists it as uncharacterized. The record is from RefSeq and is a predicted model, not a curated record. Lineage: Eukaryota; Metazoa; Chordata; Mammalia; Primates; Cercopithecidae.